Molecule: non-coding RNA, 95 nt
Organism: Aromia moschata
Lineage: Eukaryota; Metazoa; Arthropoda; Insecta; Coleoptera; Cerambycidae
Source: the annotation of a GenBank genome assembly
GCCGCGGUAAUAGCACAGUGGGUAAAGCGCCAAGUGGGAGAUGUCGAUUACUUCGAAAGCUAUUAUCCGCGCGGAUUCGAAUCCCGCCUGUGGCA